UUUGCGCAAUGGGGGAAACCCUGACGCAGCAACGCCGCGUGAGUGAUGAAGGCCUUCGGGUCGUAAAGCUCUGUCAGUGGGGAAGAAGUGCAGGGGCGCUAAUAUCGCUUUUGCUUGACGGUACUCUAACAGGAAGCACCGGCUAACUCCGUGCCAGCAGCCGCGGUAAUACGGAGGGUGCGAACGUUGUUCGGAAUUCUUGGGCGUAAAGUGCGUGUAGGCGGUUUGGUAAGUCUGUUGUGAAAGCCCCGGGCUCAAACUGGGUAGAGCAUUGGAAACUGUCAUACUUGAGUUCGGGAGAGGGUAGAGUAAUACCAAGUGUAGGAGUGAAAUCCGUAGAUAUUUGGAGGAACACCGGUGGCGAAAGCGGCUACCUGGACCGAUAUUGACGCUGAGACGCGAAAGCGUGGGGAGCAAACAG
RNAcentral lists this ribosomal RNA (421 nucleotides) under uncultured bacterium. RNAcentral describes it as "bacterial SSU rRNA". It matches the Rfam family "Bacterial small subunit ribosomal RNA", at positions 363 to 775 of the family's 1533-position model. The record is from RNAcentral.